RNAcentral lists this ribosomal RNA (253 nucleotides) under uncultured bacterium. RNAcentral describes it as "partial 16S ribosomal RNA". It matches the Rfam family "Bacterial small subunit ribosomal RNA", at positions 524 to 776 of the family's 1533-position model. The record is from RNAcentral.
UACGAAGGGGGCUAGCGUUGCUCGGAAUGACUGGGCGUAAAGGGCGCGUAGGCGGCCUUAUAUGUCAGGCGUGAAAGUCCGGGGCUCAACUCGGGAAUGGCGCUUGAGACGGUAGGGCUUGAGUGGAGAAGAGGGUCGUGGAAUUCCCAGUGUAGAGGUGAAAUUCGUAGAUAUUGGGAAGAACACCGGUGGCGAAGGCGGCGACCUGGUCCUUGACUGACGCUGAGGCGCGAGAGCGUGGGGAGCAAACAGG